This 27-nucleotide non-coding RNA is filed under the name Mus musculus (house mouse). Lineage: Eukaryota; Metazoa; Chordata; Mammalia; Rodentia; Muridae. The record is from RNAcentral.
UGACCAGCACUCGGGAAAUUGUUCCAC